Macadamia integrifolia is the source of this 3336-nucleotide ribosomal RNA. The record is from RefSeq and is a predicted model, not a curated record. Lineage: Eukaryota; Viridiplantae; Streptophyta; Magnoliopsida; Proteales; Proteaceae.
CGACCUCAGGUCAGGCGGGGCUACCCGCUGAGUUUAAGAAAAUCAAUAAGCGGUGGACAAGAAACUUACGAGGAUUCCUUUAGUAAUGGUGAGUGAAUCGGGAAGAGCCUAGCUUUAGAUCGAGCGGCUUUAUUGUUCGAACUGUAGUCUGUGGAAGCAUCCUCAGUGACGGACGAGCCCAAGUCCCCUGAAAGGGGGUACUGGAGAGGGUGAGAGCCCCAUCGUGUCCAAACCCUGUCGCACCAUGAGGCACUAUCGGCUAGUCGAGUUGUUUGGGAAUAUAGCCCCAAUUGGGCGGUAAGUUCCAUUCAAGGCUAAAUAUGGGCGAGAGACCGAUAGCGAACAUGUACUGCGAGGGAAAGAUGAAAAGGCCUUUGAAAAUAGAGUUAAAGAGUGCUUAAAAUUGUCAGGAGGGAAGCAGAUGGGGGCCGACGAUGCGUCUCGAUCGAAUACGGAACGGUUAAUAGCCAGUCCACCGCUUGACUCGGGGCAUGGACUGAUGUGGAUUACAGUGACGUCCCAAGCCCGGGUUGUCGUGUUAUGCCUAAGGAGAUGUCAUCGCCGUGAUCAUGGUAGGCAACGUGCGCUUCGAUGGCAUGCCUAUUGGCAACUGCAUGCUGCGGCCAUUGACCUGUCAGGCUCCCCAUUUGACCCGUCUUGAAACACAGACCAAGGAGUCUGACAUGUGUGUGAGUCAAUGGGCAAGUAAAACCCGUAAGGCAUAAAGAAGCUGAUUGGUGGAUCCACUUGUGGGUUGCAUUGCCGACCGACCUUGAUCUUCUAUGAAGGGUUCGAGUGAGAGCAUACCUGACGGGACCCGAAAGAUGGUGAACUAUGCCUGAGUGGGGCGAAGCCAGAGGAAACUCUAGUGGAGGCCCACAGUGAUACUGAUGUUCAAAUCGUUUGUCUGACUUGGGUAUAGGGGCAAAAGACUAAUCAAACCAUCUAGUAGCCGGUUCCCUCCCAAGUUUCCUUCAGGACAGUAGGAGCCCGUAGGCGAGUUUUAUCGGGUAAACCCAAUGAUUAGAGGCAUCGGGGGUGCAACGCCCUCAACCUAUUCUCAAACUUUAAAUAGGUAGGAUGGUAUGGCUGCUUCGUUGAGCCGUACCAUGGAAUCGAGAGCUCUAAGUGCCCAUUUUUGGUAAGUAAAACUGAGGAUGCUGGAUGAACCGGAAGCCAGGUUGUGGUGCCGGAUUGCACGCUAACCUAAAACCCACAAAGGGUGUUGGUCGAUUAAGAUAGCAAGACGGUGGUUAUGGAAGUCCAAAUCUGCUAAGGAAUGUGUAACAACUCACCUGUCGAAUCAACUAGCCCCGAAAAUGGAUGGCGCUGAAGCACGCAACCUAUACCCAGCUGUUGGGGCAACAGCCAGGCCCCAAUGAGUAGGAAGGCGUGGCAAUCUCCAUAAAACCUGGGGCGUGAGCCUGGGUGGAGCGAUCAUGGUGCAGAUCUUCGUAGUAGUAGCAAAUAUUCAAAUGAGAACUUUGAAGGCUGAAGAGGGGAAAGGUUCCAUGUGAACGGCACUUGCAUAUGGGUUAGUCAAUCCUAAGGGACGGGGGAAGCCCAUCAAAGAGUACAUACGCACCAGGACAUGGCUAUUGACGGCAUUGUUAGGAAGUCCAGAGACGUCAAGGGGGGCCUCGGGAAGAGUUAUCUUUUCUAUUAAACAGCCUACCCACCCUGGAAAUGGUUCAACUGAAGGUAGGGUCCAGUAGUUGGAAGAGCACCGCAAGUUGCAUGGUGUCCAGUGUGCCCCCAGUGGCCCUUGAAAAUUUGGAGGACCGAGUGCCGACCAUGCCCGGUCAUACUCAUAACCGCAUCAGGUCUCUCAGUUGAACAGCCUCUGGUUGAUGGAACAAUAUAGGCAAGGGAAGUCGACAAAAUGGAUCCAUAACCUUUGGAAAAGGAUUGGCUCUGAGGGUUGGGAACAGGGGUCCCAGUCUCGAACUCGUCGGCUAUCGGCGGACUGCUCGAGCUACUUUCAUGGCAAGAGCGGGUCACCGCGUGUCGAUCAAGGGACAAACUGGGAACGGCCCCCUCAGGGGCCUUCCCUGGGCGUCAAACAGUUGACUCAUAACUGGUACAGACAAGGAGAAUCCAACUGUUUAAUUAAAACAAAGUAUUGCGAUGGUCCCUGCGGAUGCUCACGCUAUGUGAUUUCUGCCUUGUGCUCUAAAUGUCAAAGUGAAGAAAUUUAACCAAGCACGGGUAAAUGGCGGGAGUAACUAUGACUCUCUUAAGGUAGCCAAAUGCCUCAUCAUCUAAUUAGUGACGUGCAUGAAUGGAUUAACAAGAUUCCAAAUGUCCCUGUCUACUAUCCAGUGAAACCACAGCCAAGGGAAUGGGCUUGGCAGAAUCAGCGGGAAAAGAAGACCCUAUUGAGCUUGACUCUAGUCCGACUUUGUGAAAUGACUUGAGAGGUGUAGGAUAAGUGGGAGCUAGAAACGGCGCAAGUGAAAUACCACUACUUUUAAUGUUAUUUUACUUACUCCGUGAGUCGAAGGUGGGGCUCUACCCCUCCUUUUGGACCCAAGGCCCACCUCGGCGGGGCGAUCCGGGUGGAGGACAUUAUCAGGUGGGGAUUUUGGCUGGGGCAACACAUCUGUUAAUAGAUAACGUAGGUGUCCUAAGAUGAGCUCAACGAGAACAGAGAUCUCGUGUGGAACAAAAGGGUAAAAGCUCAUUUCAUUUUGAUUUCCAAUACGAAUACAAACCGUGAAAGUGUGGCCUAUCGAUCCUUUAGACCUUCGGAAUUUAAAGCUAGAGGUGUCAGAAAAGUUACCACAGGGAUAACUGGCUUGUGGCAGCCAAGCAUUCAUAGCAACAUUGCUUUUGGUCCUUCGAUGUCUGCUCUUCCUAUCAUUGCGAAGCAGAAUUCACCUAGUGUUGGAUUGUUCACCCACCAAUAGGGAACAUGAGCUGGGGUUACCCUAUUGAUGAUAGUGUCGCGAUAGUAAUUCAACCUAGUACGAGAGGAACUGUUGAUUCACACAAUUGCUCAUCGCGCUUGGUUGAAAAGCUAGUGGCAUGAAGCUGCCGUGUGCCAGAAUAUAACUGAAUGCCUCUAAGUCAGAAUCCAGGCUAAAGAAGCGAUACUUGUGCCCGUCGCUCAUUUUCCAACCCACAGUAGGGGCCCUCCAGCCCCCAGAGGCACAUGUCGUUGGCCAUACCCCCACAGUGGACGUGUUGUGUGGGCUGCCUUGAAGCAUAAUUCCUAUCGGGCGAUGGGUAGAAUCCUUUGCAGCUGACUUAAAUACGUGAUGGGAUAUUGUAAGUGGCAGAGUGGCCUUGCUACCACAAUCCACUGAGAUUCAUCCCCGUGUAGCAUCGAUUCAU